CUUUUGAGCUGUCAAGAGAUCCCUGUUCUUGUACGAUAGUAUGGAGAGUUCGGUGGACAUCCCUAGCCAUGCCCUUUGCAUCACCACAUACGUAUAAGUAAGCACCUUUUGAUAUCAAAUUCCAGAUGUCUGAAGCCUUCUCGGCCAUUUUAUGUUGCACAUAUUCCUUUGUUGGACCUUCACGUGAGAAGGCGAUAACCAACUCGGAGAGAGCACCAGUCUCAACGUAGUUGUUCAGCUCAUCCUCGUAUAUAUAAUCCAUCCCACGGUUUCUGCAUCCAAAGAACAAUAUGGAAGGCCCCAAUUCUACUCCAGAUUCUUUUAAAGCUAAUCUUUCCUGUAAGAAACCUCUGAAAGGAG
This 360-nucleotide unclassified non-coding RNA is filed under the name Hevea brasiliensis (rubber tree). The record is from RNAcentral. Lineage: Eukaryota; Viridiplantae; Streptophyta; Magnoliopsida; Malpighiales; Euphorbiaceae.